This 25-nucleotide small RNA is filed under the name Arabidopsis thaliana (thale cress). RNAcentral describes it as "ATSL161980". Lineage: Eukaryota; Viridiplantae; Streptophyta; Magnoliopsida; Brassicales; Brassicaceae. The record is from RNAcentral.
AAGAACUUAAACCGCACAUAAGAGA